GGGCGCAUAGCUCAGGGGCAGAGCGUUGCAUUCACACUGCAAAGGUCCGUGGUUCAAAUCCACGUGUGCCCA
Molecule: transfer RNA, 72 nt
Filed under: Candidatus Portnoyibacteriota bacterium
Lineage: Bacteria; Candidatus Portnoyibacteriota
Description: Candidatus Portnoybacteria bacterium tRNA-Val
Rfam family: tRNA
About the family: Transfer RNA (tRNA) molecules are approximately 80 nucleotides in length. Their secondary structure includes four short double-helical elements and three loops (D, anti-codon, and T loops).
Source: RNAcentral